AGUUGCUCCUGGGGAUAAUUUGUCUUGAAAACAAAUUUAAAGUGUUCAAUUCACUUAGUAACUU
Molecule: transfer RNA, 64 nt
Filed under: Typhlosyrinx sp. MNHN IM 2013-18371
Lineage: Eukaryota; Metazoa; Mollusca; Gastropoda; Neogastropoda; Raphitomidae
Description: tRNA-Ser
Source: RNAcentral